This 461-nucleotide ribosomal RNA is filed under the name uncultured Anoxybacillus sp. RNAcentral's name for it is "bacterial SSU rRNA". It matches the Rfam family "Bacterial small subunit ribosomal RNA", at positions 920 to 1382 of the family's 1533-position model. Lineage: Bacteria; Bacillati; Bacillota; Bacilli; Caryophanales; Anoxybacillaceae. The record is from RNAcentral.
CCCGCACAAGCGGUGGAUGAUGUGGAUUAAUUCGAUGCAACGCGAAAACCUUACCUGCCCUUGACAUCCUCGGAACUUGUCAGAGAUGACUUGGUGCCUUCGGGAACCGAGAGACAGGUGGUGCAUGGUUGUCGUCAGCUCGUGUCGUGAGGUGUUGGGUUAGGUCCCGCAACGAGCGCAACCCUCGACCUUAGUUGCCAGCAUUCAGUUGGGCACUCUAAGGUGACUGCCGGCUAAAAGUCGGAGGAAGGUGGGGAUGACGUCAAAUCAUCAUGCCCCUUAUGACCUGGGCUACACACGUGCUACAAUGGGCGGUACAAAGGGUCGCGAACCCGCGAGGGGGAGCCAAUCCCAAAAAGCCGCUCUCAGUUCGGAUUGCAGGCUGCAACUCGCCUGCAUGAAGCCGGAAUCGCUAGUAAUCGCGGAUCAGCAUGCCGCGGUCGAAUACGUUCCCGGGCCUU